ACCAUUAGCUAGUUGGUGGGGUAAGGGCCCACCAAGGCGACGAUGGUUAGCGGGUCUGAGAGGAUGAUCCGCCACACUGGAACUGAAACACGGCCCAGACUCCUACGGGAGGCAGCAGUAGGGAAUCUUCCGCAAUGGACGAAAGUCUGACGGAGCAACGCCGCGUGAGUGAUGAAGGUUUUCGGAUCGUAAAGCUCUGUUGUUAGGGAAGAACAAGUACCGUUCGAAUAGGGCGGUACCUUGACGGUACCUAACCAGAAAGCCACGGCUAACUACGUGCCAGCAGCCGCGGUAAUACGUAGGUGGCAAGCGUUGUCCGGAAUUAUUGGGCGUAAAGGGCUCGCAGGCGGUUUCUUAAGUCUGAUGUGAAAGCCCCCGGCUCAACCGGGGAGGGUCAUUGGAAACUGGGGAACUUGAGUGCAGAAGAGGAGAGUGGAAUUCCACGUGUAGCGGUGAAAUGCGUAGAGAUGUGGAGGAACACCAGUGGCGAAGGCGACUCUCUGGUCUGUAACUGACGCUGAGGAGCGAAAGCGUGGGGAG
This 540-nucleotide ribosomal RNA is filed under the name uncultured bacterium. Its description in RNAcentral is "bacterial SSU rRNA". It matches the Rfam family "Bacterial small subunit ribosomal RNA", at positions 237 to 768 of the family's 1533-position model. The record is from RNAcentral.